Molecule: transfer RNA, 69 nt
Filed under: Theopropus elegans
Lineage: Eukaryota; Metazoa; Arthropoda; Insecta; Mantodea; Hymenopodidae
Description: tRNA-Gly
Source: RNAcentral
AUUUAUUUAGUAUAAUUAAGUACUCUUGAUUUCCAAUCAAAAAGUCUAUAUAUAUAUUUAGAAUAAAUA